Molecule: long non-coding RNA, 475 nt
Filed under: Phascolarctos cinereus (koala)
Lineage: Eukaryota; Metazoa; Chordata; Mammalia; Diprotodontia; Phascolarctidae
Description: lncRNA (ENSPCIG00000037111.1)
Source: RNAcentral
CCCCUUCUCUACCCCGUCUCCUGGGGGCCGCCGCCGUCGCAGCCUCAGUGUCCCCCCAACGCGUCCUGCACCGGAGCUCCAGCCGUCCCUCUUCACGCGCACUCCUUCGUUCGCUGGCUCACGGGCAGGAAAACAACGGAAGGAGCGCGAGGUGAACUAGGCAGUACCCCGGCUGCGCCAUGAGCAAUCAGUUGAGGAGAUCUGCAUGGGAAGCAUCUGGGAGUCCUCUGACUCAGCCUGUGCUCUCCACACAGGGAUCCCUAAGGCCAUUGAGAUGGUCCAGGGGACAUCUGUUUUUACCAUGAAGACUUCUGAUUAGGCUUUUGACUCCCCACAAAAGUGCUGAAAAUUGAUGUGCCCUGUGGGCUUCUUCCAAGUAAAAGAAGACAGCCAGAAGUCUCCUAAGAAGUCGUGGAAGAUGAAAGCCUAAUCUACAGAGUUUGAUCAAUGAAUCAAUGAACAACUAUCACAAACA